RNAcentral lists this ribosomal RNA (252 nucleotides) under uncultured bacterium. RNAcentral's name for it is "partial 16S ribosomal RNA". It matches the Rfam family "Bacterial small subunit ribosomal RNA", at positions 524 to 776 of the family's 1533-position model. The record is from RNAcentral.
UACAGAGGGUGCAAGCGUUAAUCGGAAUUACUGGGCGUAAAGCGUGCGCAGUCGGUUAUUUAAGUCGGGCGUGAAAGCCCCGGGCUCAACCUGGGAAUUGCGUUCGAUACUGGAUAGCUAGAGUUCGGCAGAGGGAAGCGGAAUUUCGGGUGUAGCGGUGAAAUGCGUAGAUAUCCGAAGGAACAUCAGUGGCGAAAGCGGCUUCCUGGACCAGAACUGACGAUCAGGCACGAAAGCGUGGGAGCAACAGGG